UACGAAGGGGGCUAGCGUUGCUCGGAAUCACUGGGCGUAAAGGGUGCGUAGGCGGGUCUUUAAGUCAGGGGUGAAAUCCUGGAGCUCAACUCCAGAACUGCCUUUGAUACUGAAGAUCUUGAGUUCGGGAGAGGUGAGUGGAACUGCGAGUGUAGAGGUGAAAUUCGUAGAUAUUCGCAAGAACACCAGUGGCGAAGGCGGCUCACUGGCCCGAUACUGACGCUGAGGCACGAAAGCGUGCGGAGCAAACAGG
RNAcentral lists this ribosomal RNA (253 nucleotides) under uncultured bacterium. Its description in RNAcentral is "partial 16S ribosomal RNA". It matches the Rfam family "Bacterial small subunit ribosomal RNA", at positions 524 to 776 of the family's 1533-position model. The record is from RNAcentral.